This 253-nucleotide ribosomal RNA is filed under the name uncultured bacterium. RNAcentral's name for it is "partial 16S ribosomal RNA". It matches the Rfam family "Bacterial small subunit ribosomal RNA", at positions 524 to 776 of the family's 1533-position model. The record is from RNAcentral.
UACGUAGGGGGCUAGCGUUGUCCGGAAUUACUGGGCGUAAAGGGCUCGUAGGUGGCCAACUAAGUCAGACGUGAAAUCCCUCGGCUUAACCGGGGAACUGCGUCUGAUACUGGAUGGCUUGAGUUCGGGAGAGGGAUGCGGAAUUCCAGGUGUAGCGGUGAAAUGCGUAGAUAUCUGGAGGAACACCGGUGGCGAAGGCGGCAUCCUGGACCGACACUGACGCUGAGGAGCGAAAGCCAGGGGAGCAAACGGG